UCUUUCAUUUGAGCCUCCCCCCCACCCCUCCUUCCUCUCCCCUCUCUAUCGUUCUCUCCCCCUCUCUGCAGCACUGAGCACUAAUGACUGAUGAUGGGAAGGGAGGAAAUAAAAUCCAGGAAACUGUCUCCUUCAGGAAAAUCCUUGCAGGGACCGAGAAACCCAACAUGCCACUCAUCAUGCAGCUGUGAUGCUUCACUUCGCUGUGGGGAUGGUCUCCUGACCUGCCGGAUGUGUCCCGAGGCAAGUGAUUGGCUUUAGGGAUCAACCGAAUCUACAAACGUUGCCAUGGAGACGCUUUGAACCCAACCGGGGUUGCAUCGACUCCGAGGGCGCGUCCGCCCCCCCUGGUCUGCAGCCCCUGCAGGACCCCGCCGAUCCUGAGCAGCUUGUCUCGGUGAUCUCUCCGAGAGGACGGCGAGAGUGAUCGGAUGCUGCCGGAGGCGGCGGCGGCGGCGGCUGUGACAGCACCGGAGAGUCGUCUCCAUGGCAACCGGCAAGCUCGCAUAGAGGAAGAAGCAUUAACGGGUGGCUGAGGUGACUGCGAGCAUCAUCACUCUACCUCCUCUUCCUCUCUCUCCGUCGGUCCCUCCGCACGCAAACGCAGAGCUUCUGCUCUCUGGUCCAUGACCUUCAGAAAAUGGUGGCCGUAAAAAAAAAAAAAAAAAAAAAAGAGAGUAGAAGCAACACGCACACACGU
Long non-coding RNA from Mugil cephalus (flathead mullet), 700 nucleotides. RefSeq lists it as uncharacterized. The record is from RefSeq and is a predicted model, not a curated record. The transcript has 2 exons. NCBI's taxonomy places the organism in Eukaryota, Metazoa, Chordata, Actinopteri, Mugiliformes, Mugilidae.